AAGGAAUAUUGGACAAUGGAGGCAACUCUGAUCCAGCCAUGCCGCAUGAAGGAAUAAGGCCCUAUGGGUUGUAAACUUCUUUUAGACGGGACAAAACCCCUUUACGUGUAAAGGGUUGAUGGUACUGUCAGAAUAAGCAUCGGCUAACUUCGUGCCAGCAGCCGCGGUAAUACGAAGGAUGCAAGCGUUAUCCGGAAUUAUUGGGUUUAAAGGGUGCGUAGGCGGACUAAUAAGUCAGUGGUGAAAGCCUGCAGCUUAACUGCAGAAUUGCCAUUGAUACUGUUAGUCUUGAGUACAGUUGAGGUAGGCGGAAUGUGUCAUGUAGCGGUGAAAUGCUUAGAUAUGACACAGAACACCGAUUGCGAAGGCAGCUUGCUAAGCUGUAACUGACGCUGAGGCACGAAAGCGUGGGGAGCAAACA
This 421-nucleotide ribosomal RNA is filed under the name uncultured bacterium. Its description in RNAcentral is "bacterial SSU rRNA". It matches the Rfam family "Bacterial small subunit ribosomal RNA", at positions 356 to 774 of the family's 1533-position model. The record is from RNAcentral.